GCCGGUGUCGCGUAGUUGGUCAUCGCGGUGGUCUUAAGUUCAUUUUUGUCCUUGAAAUCCACUUGACAAGUUCAGGCCUGGGUUCGAAUCCCAGUACCGGCA
Non-coding RNA from Acaromyces ingoldii, 102 nucleotides. The record is from the annotation of a RefSeq genome assembly. NCBI's taxonomy places the organism in Eukaryota, Fungi, Basidiomycota, Exobasidiomycetes, Exobasidiales, Cryptobasidiaceae.